This 253-nucleotide ribosomal RNA is filed under the name uncultured bacterium. RNAcentral's name for it is "partial 16S ribosomal RNA". It matches the Rfam family "Bacterial small subunit ribosomal RNA", at positions 524 to 776 of the family's 1533-position model. The record is from RNAcentral.
CACGUAGGGGGCGAGCGUUGUCCGGAAUCAUUGGGCGUAAAGGGUGCGUAGGCGGCGCGGUAAGUCGGAUGUGAAAUCUCGGGGCUUAACUCCGAAACUGCAUUCGAUACUACCGUGCUUGAGGACUGGAGAGGAGACUGGAAUUUACGGUGUAGCGGUGAAAUGCGUAGAUAUCGUAAGGAAGACCAGUGGCGAAGGCGGGUCUCUGGACAGUUCCUGACGCUGAGACGCGAAAGCUAGGGGAGCAAACGGG